UCAACCCUGCGUGCCAGUAGGCUUAGCUACUCCCCACCCAGCCACAGACCUCCUGCCCAUCCCCUGGGGCAGACACGGAGAGGAGAGGGGCCCAAUGCAGAGGCGCCACCUCUGGAACCUGGGGCCACUCUGCAAUCGUGCUCACACAAGUCGCUGAGCUGGGACCCUCCUGAGUACCGUCUCCUGGAUUAUCAGGCCUACUGUUUUACGCAUGCUGCCUAUGGAGGCUAAAAUAGAAGCCCGUUCUGUCCAAAGAGCUCCUGUAGAGACUUCCCACCACCCUGCCUUCUUGGAAAGAGCGUCCAGCGCAUUCCGCACUGGAACCCAUCACAGAGGGAAGAUGCCGAGGCCAUAGCUCAACUUCCUCAGGUCAGGAGAGGCCCCGAGCAGUCAUCUCUACCGCCUCUCAGCCCUCCAACUAUGCAAAGAAUGUGAACCAUUUCCCAUGGGACUGGCAACCUUGAAGCAGUUCUGAGCACAUCCUCCCCAAAUAUCUGCUUCUCAAACAGAUAAAACAGAGAAGCAUCCCGAAAAUGCUUGGGCUAUCCACCUGAGGUGGUGGUACAAUGUUUGCUUGCCUUUUUCUGCUUCUGGACUCCAUCUGAGAACUGUUGGUGAGCCAGCUUGGGAUGAGGCCAUGUUCCCUGUGGGGACAGAGAACAGAGAACUCUCUGGACAGGGCCUCUCAAGGGAAUGGGGCCCAAGCAGUGCCCAGUGCUCCGGCUCCUGUCCCAGUAAUGGAAUCAAUGCUGAACCGUUCUGGGAUCAUUUGGGUGCCUUUUGGUGCCUGAGGAAUCUGGGCAUGGGACUGACUGUCUUCACCACUACCAAGGACCCACCUCAACCAGCCUUUGGCCUCCCCAGUCCACGCCACCUCUGAUUUUGUGGCCUGAGUGGAUGGGGGCAGUGGCUGGGGCAAGGCCAUGCCAGGCUUGGCAGAGCACGUGGGUGGGGAGGCAGGACAUGACUUUCUGAGUAGCUCUCACCUUUCAAGAGCCUCUGGCAUGCCUUGUUGCUCUACUGCAGGCGUGAUCAGGCCCAGUGACCUACAUAACCUUACAGAGGUAGGCCAGGUGCAGACCUUGACUCAUCUCAGAGGAGCCUGACUUGGGAAGGGUGGGGGUGGGGAGGAUUUCUAAUCCUGAGAUGCUGAAACCAUCUAAAUGCUCAGGCUUAGUGAAUCAUGAUAUGUCCAAAGGGUGAAAUAUUAUGUAAAAGUGAUUAUAGUAAAGACUACUUAGCAACAUUACAAAUGUUUAUGAUAUAAUGCUGGGUGAACAAAGGAAGAUAAUGUGUAUAUUUUGCACAAUGGAUGAGGGAAGACUGGGAGGGGAUUUAAAAAAUAACAAUUGCUCUGCUA
Molecule: long non-coding RNA, 1360 nt
Organism: Manis javanica (Malayan pangolin)
Lineage: Eukaryota; Metazoa; Chordata; Mammalia; Pholidota; Manidae
Source: RefSeq, a predicted model, not a curated record